Mustela erminea (ermine) is the source of this 5531-nucleotide long non-coding RNA. RefSeq lists it as uncharacterized. The record is from RefSeq and is a predicted model, not a curated record. Lineage: Eukaryota; Metazoa; Chordata; Mammalia; Carnivora; Mustelidae. The transcript has 5 exons.
GGCAAAGUAUGUAAACAGCACCUGUAAUUGUAACUGCCUGUUCUUAUCCCCAGUGAACCUGAUCUUGUGGCAACCUGAUCUCUGGGGCCUCCCUCACAUAAGCCAGAAACUCAGCCUCCCACCCUCCGAACUGCCUCCUGUAAUGGGCUAGGUUUGACGACCAUGAUGGGAUUAGUGCCAUUUGCUUAGUUUAAUUUCGGAUUUGUGCUAGCUCACAUAAGAUCAGCACUGCUGGACGGUUGCAAGGUUUUUUCCAAUGAAGGCUCUUAGAAACCACUUGAAAUGGCUGCCUCUAAGGUUCUGUGUAGGGCUGGGCUCUGGAGGGCAGCCAGGAGGUGAAGGAAGAGGCGGGGGAGGAGAAGGGGCAUCAGGCAGCAUCAGCCUAGCAGUCAAGCCCACCUAGGUGCCAGGCUCACACCUGGACUCAAGUAGGCAAAUGAGCUCGCUGCCCCCGCCCCCGGCCCACCCCACCAAGGAAGACAGCCGGGGCCGGAGCAGGGCCAGGGAGAGGGAUAAAAUUAAUCGAGAGGCUGAGGUGUGCAUGAGGACUACCAGGCAAGACAGACUGGUCUUUGGAUCUGGAAUGAUGAUGACCCAGGGAAUGUAGAUAUCAGCCCAUAAACAUGUGAAGGGGAAGCUAUGGCCAUGUGCACAUGCCAGAAGAUUUCCACCGGGAAGAAGAGGCAGUCCCUGAAACCAGAAAGAGGUAUAACCUAAAUAAUCCUCAAUUUCCAAAAGUCAAUCCACACAUAUGCCUGGGGUCCUGAUGUAGAAGAGGCAUUAAAACAUGAGGACAGAGACCAAAUGAAAAAGAGCCUCUUGAGACCAUCAGGGGAUCAAGACACGGAGACACAGAGGAUUUCACCUGCCAAGAAUCCCAGUGAUGAGGUGGCCAAGAUGGGACUUGAAUACAACCCACUCUGGUUUCAAUGCUUGUGAUUUUAACCACUACCUCAAUGCCCGAAGCUGUGACCCUGCUUUUCUCUGUACCUGGUGACCCUCCCCAUACUGAAUCUAGAGUCUGUGGUUGCCUUUGCUGAACUUUUUCUGGGGCACACGGGUGGAGAGAUACCUGCUUUCUCCUGUGGUCUCUGUACGACUCUGCAAAUUAAGUCCUUGCUAGAGUAGAGCCAGGGCAGGCAGUUGCUUCGUUCCUUGUGAAUGCUGAAGACUUGUUCAGAGAGGGGCUUCCCUUUGGGAAGGCUCCCAGUACAAGCCUUGAGGUUUCUAUCCAAAGAGUUUCUUUAAUCAUUCCCUUAAAAAGGUGUUAUCUCUGGGGAUGGAAAGAGUGGAAAGGUGUUAAAGUGUUCGUCUGAAAUCCCCCAAAACAUGGAGCUCCUGCAUUAAGUUUUUGGCUUUGUUUCUUCUUUUUCAAUGAAGCAUUUACAUCCAGCAAAAUCCCAAGCCUGAAGUGUGCACCAUGAUGAGUACUGACAGAUAUACAUAUAUACCGAUGUAAUCCACACCUCCAGUCAAAGUACAGAGUAUUUCCAUCACCCCGGAAAGUUCCAUCUGGUCUCUUUCCCAUUAAUCCACUUCUCUUCCCCUUCCCCACCCCCAGUGUUUCUUAUGACAUCAUGUAAUCAGAUCUGAUGUGGUUGAUCCCUAAAUCUUUACUGGGUUUCUCUCCCACCCUCAGGAGUCCUGUGUUUAACCAAAGCCUCCCAAAUCCCUUUCUUGCUUAUCUGUUUUGACUAACAUGAUGUCAUUGAUGUACCAGACGAAUAUGAUGUUCUGUGCGAUGGCCAGAUAGCUCAGAUCCCUUCAGAACACAUCAUGACCAAGGGUGGGAGGGCUAAGAUAACACCGGGUCAAGAUCAUAAAUAUAUAUGAUAGUUUAUCUCAUGGGAAUACCGACUGCUUCUGGUUCUCCUUCCUGAUAGGAUGGAAGAGAACACAUUCUCCUGAUCCGUGGCUCCAUUCCCUGUACAUGAGGCCAUGCAAUCUUCUCUAGUGAAAAUAGCACAUCUAGCAUCACAGCUGAGAAGGAGGUUACUGCUUGUUGAGUUCGUAUUAAUCUUCCAGGAUCCAUCUGGGUCUGCAGGGACCAAACUGCUGAAUUAUAUGAAAAUAAGAUGGGACGACCAUCCCCUGAAUUCUUCAGGUUUUUCUCGUCCUCCACAAUUUCCCCUGAGAAGAAACAUUCGUUUGGGUUUACUGUCUUGGUUGGUUGGGGUGAGGGUGUGAGGAGGUGAAAUUCCAGAGGCUUCCACUUAGCCUUCCUUACUCUGAUAACUGCAACCCCACAGGCCAAAGAACCAACGUGUAUAUGUGGUGGGUGUAGGGGGUAGUUGCAGCUUGCCAAUUCCAAUGAGAUAUUCAGAGACUGGGCAAAUAACUAUGGGGAGGAUUGAUAGGCCCAAUGAACUGGUGUGAACUGGGCCUUAACUGGGACCUUGUUUAUUAUGUGGGCCUUCUAUUCCCCCUCUAAUGGGAAGCACAAUAAAGUUUCAGGUCCUCAUAUAGCAAUGGUAGCAACAACCUAUGUCUGGCAAUCCUCAGAAUAUGUGAGCAGAGUCCAGACAGCCAAGUAGUGUAGGACCCUUGGGGGAAGGACUGGAGAGCCAUCUCCAAUCAUCCACCAUCAACCAGUCAUCUCCAGUGAGUCUGUUCCGGGUGUGAGAAAGCAGGCAAGGACUGGUACCUAUGUUGGGAAGGCUGCCCUCAGCCUCCUGAGCAUCCAUUCAUGAUUUAUUUCAACUAUGCCGAUUGUACAAAUACCCUUGUUGGCUGCCUAUCUUUCCUCUCAGGAUGCAAACUUCCUUUAACGGUUUCCAAGGCUCUCUGUGGGUCCCAUCCCCCACCUUGGUGCUCAGGAAGAUAGUUACACUUUCCUUGCACCUCAGGACGAGUGCUAUUUCUUGGCCUCUAUCACCCUCAUUGCUACCAGGGAGCCCAGUUCUAUAUCAUGAUCUCCCCCAGCAGCACUAACCUUCAGGGUCAAGGGUCAACUUUGAACUUCAAGGUCAUUCUUUUGCUUUGGCAAAGGCAGUGUUACUCUAGGCCUUCCUGUGGAACAUAUCAGCUGGUGGGUUCUAUGGCUUUACAUAGUAUAUUGACUCUAGCUCACCCACUGUUCCAAGCCUUUGGAUCCUUCCUCCACCAUCUGCCAUGACAGAUCAGGAAAUCUUGACUUCACUUAGCCAACCCCACAGGACACCAGCUCCAUUUCCCGGGUCCCUUGCCAGGAUGUUAAAUGCUGCAUCAAAGGAGAGUGCUCCCCUCUCGAUAAUGCUUCCUCUACCCAAUUCCACAUUUCAUCUCCCUCUGCCUUGCAUCCUCACGAUCCCCAUGGCUCCUGCAGGGGUCAUAGUUGACUGGGUCCCACAGCUCCUUAGGGCCAUAACCCCUUUCCUCCACCAGCAGGACAACACUUCCCUGGCCAGAUUAUGUUGUGACUGGCCCGUAGUUAUUGUUCUGGCGGAAGGGGGCGGAGCUAGGAGAUUUCCAGGGACCCAGGGGAGGUGUAGGAGAGAGUGGUCACGUAUUGUCUUGCAAAGCAGACCUUGUCUUUGUCUUCAGGCAAAGGCUGACAGCCUGUAAAGAGAAGAGCAGGAUACUCUUUCAGGCCUGGAGAAUUCCAGAGGAUCUGGGCUUUACAGUGUUUUCAUAUGUCAACCCAUUUGUCUUCCCCCUGCAACUUCCCCACAAGGUCCUGACCUUGGCAUGGCAGACCUGCUACCACUGAGACUUCUCUGCUCCUUUGGGUACCUCUACUCCGCAACUCAGUUUGGGGCCAGACUCUGAGCCACAUCUGCCCUCCAGUUGCAAAAGAGAAAGGUCUCUUUAUAUGCUGCCAAAGAGGCUCUCUGCUUUCCAUACUCUGCUUAUAUUGAUGUUCAGUUAUCACCGGCCCAUUAUCACCCUUCUCCAAUGCACUGGGAAUUCCCAGCAGUGACCGCCAUUGUAUAGUGUUUCUAAUGACAAUUUCCAAGAAAUUCUAAACACUUGAGCAUUCCAUCAGGGCACUCUCCUCCCAAGUACGGAGUCCUAAGUCACCAGCAGUGAAAAUUUCAGCAAGUGUACCACUGUGGCAAACACCUACCCCAGGGGACAAGGUGCUCAUAGCAGGUUCUGGCAGCUGACCCAGCUUUGGCAUCCUCCUGGGUGCAAUUCCGUAGGUCAGUUUCCCCAGCACACAGUGUGCCAUGCUGUCCUGGGAGUGGUCUCCGGACCAACACCUUCAAGAGGUAGGGGAGGAGGGAGCAAGCCGAGGGAGAAGCUAAACUGUGGUCCAGUUGCAAGGAAGGCCUUAGCCAAUCCGACCAGGAGCUCUGGAGCUGGACUCUCUCCAACUGAGGCACGGGGGCUGGACCUCUAGAAUGUAGGCUGCCCCAGGAAAGGGAUGUAGCCUUGAGCGAGGCUGCUUUCCAGGGCCAAGGCCAAUUCUACAAAGAAAUUCAGCAAGAAGCUGGUCGCCGGCUCUUACAGAACUGGGGGAAUGAGUGUCUGGAUGCUGAAGGCACAUCUGGGCAGCACAUCUCUUCACUUUUCAAAGAGACUGAGAGAUUAGCUUAGUUGUUCUUUUUUAAAAAAUGAUUACACAAAGACUGUAAUUUGCAUCUUUAAUAUAAUAUACACUGAAUGAAUGUUCCACCACUUCAAGUGUGAGAUUUUUAGAGUAAAUUCACAUUUAUGCUCGCCAUCUUUUGUGUUAUGAUAUCCUAUGUUUUACUUCUAAAUAUGUCAUAAACCCCAUAGCACGUUGCUACUAUCCCGGCUUUAACAAUCACCCUUCCACACACUUUUACUAAAAUCAGUCUGUCAUAUUUACUCACUUGUUUAUACUUCCAAGUGAUCUUCAUUUCUUCUCAUAGACCCGCCUUUCCCAUCCUGCCCCUACUGGAGCUAAGAAGGGGUUACGUUGGGAUUCCAGAGGCUGGUGGUUCUUUGUGGGUUAAAAUCUGUCUGGGCUUCUGACUCCGGGCACCCCGGGGCCUGUUUUCCGGCUCUUCUCCCACUCUGCCUCCUCGAAUGAGGUAGAAUAUGCAAGAGAGUAUGCUGGGCUGGGUGAUUCGUCUGGGGCUCUUCCUGAUCCCACCUUCCCGCCAGCCCAGGUCCCGUCAGACUCAUCCGAAUCUCCCUGUCCCUGCAGUCUCCCCACUUGCGGGGGAUCCUCCUCCACCUGCUCACCUAGAAUCCGGGAGCAAGCUGCUCCCUAGGAAGGACCCACUUCUCUGGUCCUCAGUUCAUCGGGUGCUCCUACAUCCCACUGCUUUUAAGGAGCCUGACAGAAAAUCCCACUCUUACGUUUGCCAAGUUUCUCUGGCUGUUACCCCAGGAACAAAGGUCUUUCUCAUUCUUCAAUGAUCUAACUGGAAGCAGAAAUCCUCUGCUUCGUGGCUUCGCUUCUCUUUUCUCCUUUAUCAGCUGGUGGUUGUGAGACGCUAAGGAGGAACAUAGGGUCUGGCGAGACUGGGGUGAUCACAGAGCUCUGGUUGAGCCAGGCCAGUGCGUGACCGACACACGUCCCCCCAGCUGAGAGGAAACACUGGGCAGUGAGGACACGCAUACCCGCAGCUGAGAGGAAA